GAUGAAGAACGUAGCGAAAUGCGAUAAGUAAUGUGAAUUGCAGAAUUCAGUGAAUCAUCGAAUCUUUGAACGCACAUUGCGCCCCCUGGUAUUCCGGGGGGCAUGCCUGUCCGAGCGUCAUUACAACCCUCAAGCUCAGCUUGGUGUUGGGCCCCGCCGCCCCGGCGGGCCCUAAAGUCAGUGGCGGUGCCGUCCGGCUCCGAGCGUAGUAAUUCUUCUCGCUCUGGAGGCCCGGUCGUGUGCUCGCCAGCAACCCCCAAUUUUUUUCAGGUUGACCUUGGAUCAGGUAGGGAUACCCGCUGAACUUAAGCAUAUCAAUAAGCGGAGGA
Molecule: unclassified non-coding RNA, 329 nt
Filed under: soil metagenome
Description: partial contains 5.8S ribosomal RNA, internal transcribed spacer 2, and large subunit ribosomal RNA
Rfam family: 5.8S ribosomal RNA (bases 1-120)
Source: RNAcentral